AACAUCGCCUCCUGCAAAAAUCAAUGUAUAGGAGGUCCUGCCUGCCCAGUGACAACUUGUUAAACGGCCGCGGUAUUUUGACCGUGCUAAGGUAGCGCAAUCACUUGUCUUUUAAAUGAAGACCUGUAUGAAUGGUGGAACGAGGGCUUAACUGUCUCCCUUCUCCCGUCAAUGAAAUUGAUCUGCCCGUGCAGAAGCGGGCAUAUACAUACAAGACGAGAAGACCCUUUGGAGCUUAUUGGGGCGACCGCGGGGGAAAAUAAAGCCCCCACGUAAAACCGAGAGAGACAUCUCUAAGCCACAGAAUAUCUGACCAAAAGAUCCGGCCCACAAGCCGAUCAACGAACCAAGUUACCCUAGGGAUAACAGCGCAAUCCCCUCCAAGAGUUCAUAUCGACGAGAGGGUUUACGACCUCGAUGUUGGAUCAGGACAUCCUAAUGGUGCAGCCGCUAUUAAGGGUUCGUUUGUUCAACGAUUAAAGUCCUACGUGAUCU
This 495-nucleotide ribosomal RNA is filed under the name Curimatella lepidura. Its description in RNAcentral is "partial 16S ribosomal RNA". It matches the Rfam family "Bacterial large subunit ribosomal RNA", at positions 1812 to 2606 of the family's 2925-position model. The record is from RNAcentral. Lineage: Eukaryota; Metazoa; Chordata; Actinopteri; Characiformes; Curimatidae.